RNAcentral lists this ribosomal RNA (278 nucleotides) under uncultured bacterium. RNAcentral describes it as "partial 16S ribosomal RNA". It matches the Rfam family "Bacterial small subunit ribosomal RNA", at positions 78 to 354 of the family's 1533-position model. The record is from RNAcentral.
CGGGAAAAGGGAAAGGCUUAGUGGCGGACGGGUGAGUAACGCGUGGGUAACCUGGCCCAUACAGGGGGAUAACACUUAGAAAUAGGUGCUAAUACCGCAUAACAACAGAAAGCGCAUGCUUUUUGUUUGAAAGCCAAGGUGGUAUGGGAUGGACCCGCGUCUGAUUAGCUGGUUGGCGGGGUAAAGGCCCACCAAGGCGACGAUCAGUAGCCGGCCUGAGAGGGUGGACGGCCACAUUGGGACUGAGACACGGCCCAAACUCCUACGGGAGGCAGCAG